Molecule: long non-coding RNA, 4117 nt
Organism: Mustela lutreola (European mink)
Lineage: Eukaryota; Metazoa; Chordata; Mammalia; Carnivora; Mustelidae
Exons: 2
Source: RefSeq, a predicted model, not a curated record
CAGGAUGAUUUUGUUUUAGGUCUUCCCCGGUAAUGAGGUAUUGUCUUCCUCCAGAGAAGGAGACUCCCAGCAGCAGCUACACCCAGACCCUCCCGGGGCUCCGCUCUCUGCAGCCUCCAAGCCCAGGAUCCCGGCUGGGCUGGGGUCCUCCGCGGCGGUGCUGAGCCGGCGGACCCGGUCUCGAGGCGGCCCAGGGACCGGGCUGAGAGGGAGCCACCAACGCACCCGCCCCCCCUGGUGGAGGAAGGGAGAUUGCAGCCCGAGGCUAUCUGGAUUUUUGCCAGGGCCUCCCUGUCGGGAAGAAUCGCAGCUUUGCUACUUUAUGGCUAAAAGACAGUCUUCAAUUUUCUCUUCCUCUUCCUUCGGAUGCUCCAUAACCAGAUGCCUUUGAUCCCUACCCUGGAGCUGUUCCAGUCGUCCACUGCUGUGUCGUAAGCCAUCCGCAAGCUGGUUGCCUCAAACUGCCACCGUCCGUGAAGCUGCCAGAUUCCGUGUGCCCAGAAUUCGGACGGGGUACCACAGGGGGGGUUGUUUCUGCUCCAUGAUGUCUGAAGCCGCGCCUGGGAAGACUCAGCUGGCCGGGGGGCUGGGACCAGCUGGACGCUUCUCGGCGCACAUCGAGCAUUUUGGCUGGGGUGGCUGGAGGCGGGGGAGCUUGGGGCCUCCAGGCUGCCCCUCCGUGGGGCUCGUGCGUCUUCAGAGUGGGGAGGCCUCUUACGUGGUGGGUCAGGGUGUCGAGUGGGUAUCCCAGCGAACAAGGCCGAAGCUGCCUGGCCUUUUAUGACCCAGUGCGACAGACUGAUGUCUGUGUCUUCCCAAGGUUCAUGCGUUGAAAUCUUCAUCUCCCAUGUGGUGGUAUUUAGUAGUGAAGCCUCUGGGAGAUAAUUAGGUUUAAAGAUUUUCUUUAUUUAUUUUGAGAGAAAGAGAGAGAGAGCAGCACAAGGGGAGGGGCAGAGAGAGAGAGAGAAUCUCAAGCAGACUCUGCUGAGCACAGAGCCUGACUUGGGGCUCCAUCUCGUGAUUAUGACCUGAGCUGAAAUCGAGUCAGAUGCUCGACCGACUGAGCCACCCCGGUGCCUCUGGGAAGUAAUUGGGUUUAGAUGAGGUCAUGAGAGUGGGGCCCCCAUGAUGGCAUUGGUGCCCCCAUAAGAAGACAAAGAGAGACCAGAGCUUUCUCUCUCUGCCAUGUGAGGACACAGCCAGAAGGCUGUCAUCUGCAAACCAGGAAGAGAGCUCUCGCCAGAUACCAAAUCUGCCAGCCCUUGACCUGGGACUUCCUAGCUCCAGAACUGUGAGAAAUCAAUGUUUGUCAUUUAAGCCACCCAGUCUGUGGUGUUUUGUGACAGUAGCCCGAGUUGACUGGGACACCAGCCACAGAAGGCCCAGAGGGCCAUUUCCACAGGACUCUGUUGGUCUGAGUGGCCAUGAGCCUGAGAAAGGAGAGGGGGGACACACGCUGGCUUCUGGCUGGGAGCAGCGUUACAGAACUUGGAGCCAUCUUUUAAAACUACCACAAACCCCCAAUACUAUUUGUCAGAAUCAGAAAGAUUUACCUUAAGGUACUUUACACAUAUAUGUGUACACUGGGUAGAUGAAUGAGGAAGCCAACAUAUUAUGAUGGUUAAGAGUCUAAGAUUAAGGGGCACCUGGGUCGCUCAGGUGGUUGAGGGCCCGACUCUUGAUUUUGGCUCAGGUCGUGAUCUCGGGGUCGAGAGGGGGGGCCCCGGCAUGGGGCUCUGCACUGGGCAUGGAGCCUGCUUAGAAUUUUCUCUCUCCUUCUCCUUCUGCCCCCUACCCUGCCACUCAUGCACGCUCUGUCUCUUAGAGAGAGAGAGAGAGAGAGAGAGAGAGAGAGAGAAGGAGUCUAAGGUUAAAAUCAAACAGAACUGAGUUCAAACUGGCUCAGCCACUGGACUGUGUGUCUGGAAACAAGACACUUCCCCUCUCCACAUCUCCGUUUCCUCGCUGGCAACACGAGGAUAAUAACAUCUACCUUACUGGGUUUGAGUAUGGGUUGUUUUUUUUUGUUUGUUUGUUUUUGUUUUUUCUUGAGGAUAACACAGGGCAGGAGAUGUGAAGAACUUGGGCCACAGGAGACAUUCAGAAAAUGGUAGUCUCUUUUCCUUACAUUACCUCAGAAGCUAAAUUUCCAUUAUUUCUAUUAUCUCAGACUUGCCAAGGUUUGCUACUGUGGCGCAUCUUCACAGAGAUAGGGAAAGAAGAGCUGUCUCUCUUCAGGGGACAACACCCCCAUUCUUUCGGGGAACCGCUCAUCCCCCCUGCGGCCAACCAACAUGUCCAAAUGGGAGUGGCCAUCUUCUGCCAGUCAGUCCCAGUGAUUGUUCCAGUUUCUGACCAAAAAGCUGGACUGGGGUCAUCACAUUCUGCCUCCCACCUUCAUGACGGGUCUGGAGAAGGGCGCAUGACCCCAGAGAGUCGAUCACUUUCUUGGAGAUUUUGCCCCUCUAUUGUCAACUACCUGUGAGGGACACGAGCUGCCCCUCGAAUCCAGGAUUUUCGGAUAGCCACGAUCCCAGACUUAUGGAGAAACCAGUUCAACGAAAGGAGGUCGUCAUGCAGGAAGACAGCAUGAGAAGCAGGAACAGGAGGUACACAGGGGGUCCUGGUACCACGAGGUCCCACGGCCGGGUGCCCACAGCUGUCCUUCUGCACCUUUCUGGUGACAGAGUCUGUCCCUUCCUGUGAAUUGUUUUCUUCCUUUGCAGCCACAAGAAUUCUGAGUCACUAACUACUCUGACUUACACAUUGUUUUAUUAGGAAUGUGAAUUGUCCAUAAAGUCCAGUACAUUCGCUGCUCCAAGGAAACAAGGGCAUGACUCUGACACACCUCGAAAGUGACCCAAGUGUGGAGAGUUGCCUGCGAACUUGAGUUUCCUGAAAGUCUCUGCAGCUUCCGUCCUUGAACAUGAUGCUCUGGGCAAGGAAACCCUUCGGGAGGCUCCCUUUUCCAUACCUGUCGUCAGGCUCUCUCGCCUCUAGGUUCUGUCCUAACAAGAUGACCCUUGGGCCUAGCCUGCAGUUCGGCUACACUGGGCCCAGGGCUCCUGUCCCCCCACUCCAGGCUCAGAAAAAGAAGACUGGAGAUUAGACACACGUGCCCUCUGGGCACUGCCUGAGAAGAAACCCCUUGAAAGCCAUGUGCUCCGGUACUGUUCAUCUCUCCUCUAACUGAGGCGUUGGCUUCGGGGGAAAAAAUAGUUUGGUUAGAACAUAAACAAACGAUGUCUCUAAAAGUAGAAAAGAAUCUUAUUCAGAAGCUAAGCUGCGGAGAUAAAAGCCAUCUUUAGUUUAUAAAACGAGACGCCAGGGUCGUGGAAAGACAGGGAAGGUGUCUGUGUGGAGAGAAGGCAGAGCGAGUGACAUAAACCUGCAGGAGGACAUGAGGUGUGUUCUAGCCUUUCUGGAAUGACCUCUUCCUUGUUCUUUUACGCUGCGACUACACUUUGCAACGUGUGGCGUGUGCGGGGGGAGCUGGCUGGGGACUGGGAAGGAAGGUCCUUCCUCUAGCUCCAUCUCGCUGUUCUCCAAGAGGAGGAGGCCAAGAUCUCUCUGGGCAGAGGCUGCGUUAUGGGCUGGGCUACGCGUGGCCCGGGUCAUUGUACUUGAACUCAUUCUGCCUGGCUGGUCAGCCUCCUUCCUGUUCCCCGCAUCUGUGGUCUGAGGAGUGAAGCUGAUGGGACCCUGCCUUGCCCCUUCUUUCCUUCUGUCUCUUGCUGGUGCUUUCCUGCCAUGAAGCUGGGAAAAUCCAGAGAGGGGGCCUUCAGUAGAAUGAGUCGGGAGGUGGUGGGGACAGGGGAGCUCUCCUGCAGAUCCCACAGGAGGAGACGGACCUCAUUCACCUUGUACGUGGUUUCCACUUCGCUGCCGCAUCAGGAGGAGGCAAGGCUCUCCUCCUCCCCCCACCGCAGCCCAGCCAGUGACGGACGCUCCCGCCAUGAGAAGCCGCCCUGCAUCCGCUCCCAGGGGACGCUGACGGACCUCGUGUUUACCAUGGCCUUUCCUCUACACAAGAGCGUACCUCUCCUUUGCUCUUGCGUGUUCUGGGUUGCCAUUCUCUGGUCUUCUCGAAUAAACCCUUCUCUUCCUGGUGAAAUAA